Non-coding RNA from Acanthosepion pharaonis, 106 nucleotides. NCBI's taxonomy places the organism in Eukaryota, Metazoa, Mollusca, Cephalopoda, Sepiida, Sepiidae. The record is from the annotation of a GenBank genome assembly.
UCAAAUCAUGCUUAAAACACUGGUUCUCAUUUGAUCACCAAAGUUAAGCAGUGUUGAGCCUAGUCAGUACUUAGAUGGGAGACCACUUGGGAAUACUGGGCAAUGU